Temnothorax curvispinosus is the source of this 262-nucleotide long non-coding RNA. RefSeq lists it as uncharacterized. Lineage: Eukaryota; Metazoa; Arthropoda; Insecta; Hymenoptera; Formicidae. The record is from RefSeq and is a predicted model, not a curated record. The transcript is spliced from 3 exons.
CGAAGCCUCCGCCAUAUUGAUGACGUAUGACCUUCUCCUUCCAUUUCCAGAAGGCGGCUGACACGGAACGGAUCGGCUCCGGACCGAGUGGCGUCGCGGCUCAUUUAAUUGGAUGCGCCGAAUACGACAUGGAGACGGAUCAGUUCCGGAACGAGUGGCACGACUUAUUUAAUCAGAAACAGGUGUGAGUGCCACGAAGAGAUAACAAUGCGGAAAAAAAAGAACCGAAACUAAGGAAGCGAGGACCAAAUGUGACAGAUCG